AUUGAACGCUGGCGACAUGCCUUACACAUGCGAGUCGAACGGCAGCACGGGUGCUUGCACCUGGUGGCGAGUGGCGAACGGGUGAGUAAUACAUCGGAACAUGUCCUGUAGUGGGGGAUAGCCCGGCGAAAGCCGGAUUAAUACCGCAUACGAUCUACGGAUGAAAGCGGGGGACCUUCGGGCCUCGCGCUAUAGGGUUGGCCGAUGGCUGAUUAGCUAGUUGGUGGGGUAAAGGCCUACCAAGGCGACGAUCAGUAGCUGGUCUGAGAGGACGACCAGUCACACUGGGACUGAGACACGGCCCAGACUCCUACGGGAGGCAGCAGUGGGGAAUUUUGGACAAUGGGCGAAAGCCUGAUCCAGCAAUGCCGCGUGUGUGAAGAAGGCCUUCGGGUUGUAAAGCACUUUUGUCCGGAAAGAAAUCCUUGGCCCUAAUACGGUCGGGGGAUGACGGUACCGGAAGAAUAAGCACCGGCUAACUACGUG
RNAcentral lists this ribosomal RNA (486 nucleotides) under uncultured bacterium. RNAcentral's name for it is "partial 16S ribosomal RNA". It matches the Rfam family "Bacterial small subunit ribosomal RNA", at positions 30 to 507 of the family's 1533-position model. The record is from RNAcentral.